Molecule: ribosomal RNA, 527 nt
Filed under: uncultured bacterium
Lineage: Bacteria
Description: bacterial SSU rRNA
Rfam family: Bacterial small subunit ribosomal RNA
Source: RNAcentral
AAUAGAUACCCGGGUAGUCCACGCCGUAAACGAUGAGUGCUAAGUGUUAGGGGGUUUCCGCCCCUUAGUGCUGCAGCUAACGCAUUAAGCACUCCGCCUGGGGAGUACGGCCGCAAGGCUGAAACUCAAAGGAAUUGACGGGGGCCCGCACAAGCGGUGGAGCAUGUGGUUUAAUUCGAAGCAACGCGAAGAACCUUACCAGGUCUUGACAUCUCCUGACCGCCCUGGAGACAGGGUCUUCCCUUCGGGGACAGGAUGACAGGUGGUGCAUGGUUGUCGUCAGCUCGUGUCGUGAGAUGUUGGGUUAAGUCCCGCAACGAGCGCAACCCUUGUCCUUAGUUGCCAGCAUUCAGCUGGGCACUCUAAGGAGACUGCCGGCUAAAAGUCGGAGGAAGGUGGGGAUGACGUCAAAUCAUCAUGCCCCUUAUGACCUGGGCUACACACGUGCUACAAUGGGCGGUACAGAGGGUCGCGAACCCGCGAGGGGGAGCCAAUCCCAAAAAACCGCUCUCAGUUCGGAUUGCAGG